Molecule: non-coding RNA, 160 nt
Filed under: Candidatus Omnitrophota bacterium
Lineage: Bacteria; Pseudomonadati; Candidatus Omnitrophota
Description: Candidatus Omnitrophica bacterium 6S RNA
Rfam family: 6S / SsrS RNA
About the family: E. coli 6S RNA was the first non coding RNA to be sequenced, but its function was unknown until recently.
Source: RNAcentral
GACACCCUGCGGUGCUCGUGCUUGAACUGAAGAAUCUUGAGCCAUUAGAACUUACCCAGGGAGCCUAACUUUGCGCUCGCUUCGGCGUCCGCAAGAGGGCACCCACCUGUACAUAACAGGGUCAAGAUAAUUCAAUUUCACACGGCAUCGCGGGGUUUUU